Molecule: unclassified non-coding RNA, 244 nt
Filed under: Hevea brasiliensis (rubber tree)
Lineage: Eukaryota; Viridiplantae; Streptophyta; Magnoliopsida; Malpighiales; Euphorbiaceae
Source: RNAcentral
GUAAAAAAACCAAACCGAACCGAAGGUUUACUUAAAAUGCGGCUGUUUUCAUCUGUGUGUGUGCCUAUUUUCUCACAGCCGGCUGCUCCCUUUCAGUUUGUUCUCUUCCUCAGUUUCAGCUCUUCUUUCUCCCUUCCUCUUACAGUGUGUUUGGAUGGAGUGUAUGGAGGCUUUUUAAAAUAAGGUAAUGAAAGGCAAAGUAUCAAAGCCUCCUUAACCUACCAAUUUGGUGGGUUGAAAAAGU